GGCAGGCGCUGUGGCGCACGCCUGUAAUCCCAGCAGCUCAGGAGGCUGAGGCAGGAGGAUCAUGAAUGAGUUCAAAGCCAGCCUUAACAAUGAGGCACUAAGCAACUCAGUGAGACCCUGUCUCUA
Molecule: small RNA, 126 nt
Filed under: Marmota monax (woodchuck)
Lineage: Eukaryota; Metazoa; Chordata; Mammalia; Rodentia; Sciuridae
Source: RNAcentral